This 250-nucleotide ribosomal RNA is filed under the name uncultured bacterium. RNAcentral describes it as "partial 16S ribosomal RNA". It matches the Rfam family "Bacterial small subunit ribosomal RNA", at positions 524 to 776 of the family's 1533-position model. The record is from RNAcentral.
UACGGAGGGUGCGAGCGUUAAUCGGAAUUACUGGGCGUAAAGGGUGCGUAGGUGGUUUGAUAAGUUAUCUGUGAAAGCCCUGGCUCAACCUGGGAAGGCCAGAUAAGACUGUUAGACUGGAGUAUGGGAGAGGUAGUGGAAUUUCCGGUGUAGCGGUGAAAUGCGUAGAGAUCGGAAGAACACCAGUGGCGAAGGCGGCUACCUGGCCUGAUACUGACACUGAAGCACGAAAGCGUGGGGAGCAAACAGG